UUGAAAGCAAUUCAAGACGUGAUAUACAGUUGUCCACAGAUGAAAACAGUGGCCCAUUUUACUUCUCUCCUGAAAGCCCUUUAUCAUGCCAGGAUCUUGUUAGUUAAAAAAUAGCCAUGGAGAAGAGAUAGCUUCCUGAAGCUGAUAAAAAGCUGACCUCUCUGCUGGUGAACAGGGUAUAAUAGCUCUUGCAUUUGGUAUGUCAUAUUUCAAACUAAAUUUGAUUUUGCCUACUUGUUACUCCUCCCCCUUCUUUAGUUGUUUCUUAAUUACUUUUGGUUUCCAAUUUCAUUUGUUUUUUC
Arachis ipaensis is the source of this 302-nucleotide non-coding RNA. The record is from RefSeq and is a predicted model, not a curated record. NCBI's taxonomy places the organism in Eukaryota, Viridiplantae, Streptophyta, Magnoliopsida, Fabales, Fabaceae.